GUGUGACUAGGGGUGGCAGAACAAGUGGUGGCGGGGGUGGUGUGACGGAUAGUGGUGGCUCAAGUGGAGAGGAGGAGGGUCUCCCACAACUGGAUGGAUCAAUCGACAUAAAUUAUAAUCGACGUAAAAGGAAAGCAUGCAGUAUGAGAAGUAUUAAUAAAAAAAGAAGAACUAUAUGAAUCCCUGUUUUCGACCCAUGAAGGGACACACAAGGCAGUGCUCGACAUUGGUUGAUCAGGUUUUGUUGAUGGGUAGGGGAAGGUUGGAUCAUAACGAUAAGGGUGGUAGGCGGGUAGGGGGAAGAUGGCUGUUGUGAGCAUAUGGGUCCCAGACAAAUUAAUUUCCUUUUCUUAUAAUUAUAAUUAUAAUUUAAUAAAACAUAGGCAUAGACCACACGCAAAAUAAUUACUCCGAACAUAUCGCUAGCGCCAAUUAUAAUUCGAGUUAAGGCAGACCAUGUGCAAAAAUGAAUGCAUAAAUUAUAACGUUGUUAAUCUAUCACUUAACGCUUAUAACCAUCAUGUGUUCAUCCCCUCAUGCUUCAAUUGUUCACUUUUUGUGUGCAUAUCACCAUUUUUUUCCCCGUCUGUUGUAAUCCUCUUCUACUUGACGAGCAAGUUCAGGCUGAUGGAACUCUCAAUUGCAAACUGUGACAUGUGGAUCAACACAACACUUAGGCCAUCAUAACUACCAAAAUCAUCAUAGCUGAACUGAACUCUGGUCAACAAUUCUGCCCUCUAUUCUGGUGGAUAAAGUAUGCUAUCGCUAAUCUCGAUGCCAAUGAACUGCCCUCUAUUCUGGUGGAUGAAGUAUGCCAUCGCUAAUCUCGAUGCCAAUGAACUGCCCUCCAUCUGGUGGAUGAAGUAUGCCAUCGCUAAUCUCGAUGCCAAUGACCUGCCCUCUAUCUGGUGGAUAAAGUAUGCCAUCGCUAAUCUCGACGCCAAUGAACUGCCCUCUAUUAAGUAUGCCAUCGCUAACCUCAAUGCCAAUGACCUCUAUUCUGGUGGAUAAAGUAUGCCAUCACUAAUCUCGAUGCCAAUGAAGUCUGCCCUCUAUUCUGGUGGAUAAAGUAUGCCAUCACUAAUCUCAAUGCCAAUGAAGUCUGCCCUCUAUUCUGGUGGAUAAAGUAUGCCAUCGCUAAUCUCGAUGCCAAUGAACUGCCCUCUAUUCUGGUGGAUAAAGUAUGCCAUCGCUAAUCUCAAUGCCAAUGACCUCUAUUCUGGUGGAUAAAGUAUGCCAUCGCUAAUCUCGAUGCCAAUGAAGUCUGCCCUCUAUUCUGGUGGAUAAAGUAUGCCAUUGCUAAUCUCGAUGCCAAUGAAGUCUGCCAUCUAUUCUGGUGGAUAAAGUAUGCCAUCGCUAAUCUCGAUGCCAAUGAUCUGCCCUCUAUCUGCUGGAUAAAGUAUGCCAUCGGUAAUCUCAAUGCCAAUGACCUGCCCUCUAUCUGGUGGAUAAAGUAUGCCAUCGCUGCCAAUGAACUGCCAAUGCCAAUGACCUCUAUUCUGGUGGAUAAAGUAUGCCAUCACUAAUCUCAAUGCCAAUGACCUGCCCUCUAUCUGGUGGAUAAAGUAUGCCAUCUGCUAAUCUCAAUGCCAUCGCUAAUCUCGAUGCCAAUGAAGUCUUCCCUCUAUUCUGGUGGAUAAAGUAUGCCAUCGCUAAUCUCAAUGCCAAUGAAGUGCCCUCUAAUUCUGGUGGAUAAAGUAUGCCAUCACUAAUCUCGAUGCCAAUGAACUGCCCUCUAUUCUGGUGGAUAAAGUAUGCCAUCGCUAAUCUCAAUGCCAAUGAAGUCUACCCUCUAUUCUGGUGGAUGAAGUAUGCCAUCGCUAAUCUCGAUGCCAAUGAACUGCCCUCUAUUCUGGUGGAUAAAGUAUGCCAUCGCUAAUCUCGAUGCCAAUGAACUGCCCUCUAUUCUGGUGGAUGAAGUAUGCCAUCGCUAAUCUCGAUGCCAAUGAACUGCCCUCUAUUCUGGUGGAUGAAGUAUGCCAUCGCUAAUCUCGAUGCCAAUGAACUGCCCUCUAUUCUGGUGGAUGAAGUAUGCCAUCGCUAAUCUCGAUGCCAAUGAACUGCCCUCUAUUCUGGUGGAUGAAGUAUGCCAUCGCUAAUCUCGAUGCCAAUGAAGUCUACCGUCUAUUCUGGUGGAUAAAGUAUGCCAUCGCUAAUCUCGAUGCCAAUGAACUGCCCUCUAUUCUGGUGGAUAAAAUAUGCCAUCGCUAAUCUCGAUGCCAAUGAACUGCCC
Molecule: long non-coding RNA, 2233 nt
Organism: Halichondria panicea
Lineage: Eukaryota; Metazoa; Porifera; Demospongiae; Suberitida; Halichondriidae
Exons: 3
Source: RefSeq, a predicted model, not a curated record